Long non-coding RNA from Nothobranchius furzeri (turquoise killifish), 245 nucleotides. RefSeq lists it as uncharacterized. The record is from RefSeq and is a predicted model, not a curated record. NCBI's taxonomy places the organism in Eukaryota, Metazoa, Chordata, Actinopteri, Cyprinodontiformes, Nothobranchiidae.
CUGGUCAACUCACACCUGAAUAAUCCUAAAGAUCAAACUGUCCCUCAGGAAGUAUAUCGCCAGGUGGGCCCACAGGAUGAUGCAGAAGAUGGGCCUGCAGGAGAAGGUCACCCCAUUGCAGGCCAAGAAAAAAUGGGAUAACCUCAAAACUAAAUAUUAAAGACUGCGAGUAUGCAGGGUCAGGAGCAGUGGCGGCUGGCCAGUAGAGGGCGAUAGGGCGCCGCCCUCCCAGUUUCCCCUGUGUU